UUCUUUCCUUAAUCGCGUUGUCCACGUCAACUCUUAUUAAAAGUUGCGCAACUCCAUUAUGUACCCUGGAGUACAGUCCUACUUGUGCGACGGAUGAAAAGGGUGAGAAAUAUUUCUUUGGUAACAAAUGCGGUUUAAAAAAUGCUAACUGCAGGCGUAAGGAUUCAGGGUUGCCACCUUUGAAACGUACUUUUGAUGAUUGCCCUCCCC
Molecule: long non-coding RNA, 210 nt
Organism: Drosophila persimilis
Lineage: Eukaryota; Metazoa; Arthropoda; Insecta; Diptera; Drosophilidae
Exons: 3
Source: RefSeq, a predicted model, not a curated record